AGCUCCAAUAGCGUAUAUUAAAAUUGUUGCAGUUAAAAAGCUCGUAGUUGGAUCUCAGGUGCGAGUCGUCGGUCCAGUCUUGUGCUGUGACUGUGCGUUCUCCGCCUUCAUCAGUCGUUAGACGCUCUGUGGUGCUCUUUACUGGGUGCUACGGAGUGCACGGCACGUUUACUUUGAAAAAAUUAGAGUGCUCAAAGCAGGCCAUUGCGCUUGAAUAGUCUUGCAUGGAAUAAUGGAAUAGGACUUCGGUCUAUUU
This 256-nucleotide ribosomal RNA is filed under the name Rhabditophora environmental sample. RNAcentral's name for it is "partial small subunit ribosomal RNA". It matches the Rfam family "Eukaryotic small subunit ribosomal RNA", at positions 587 to 840 of the family's 1831-position model. Lineage: Eukaryota; Metazoa; Platyhelminthes. The record is from RNAcentral.